Non-coding RNA from Gossypium hirsutum (cotton), 144 nucleotides. The record is from Rfam. Lineage: Eukaryota; Viridiplantae; Streptophyta; Magnoliopsida; Malvales; Malvaceae.
UGUUAAACAUUUUAUACAUUUGCAUUGUUAAAAACUAGUGUGGUUGGCAGAACAACCAGACAGUGAUAGGUAACAUGCUACAUGUACAUCAUGUUGAUGUACAGGACUAAUUUUUAAUCGUAGAAGUGGAUGAAAUUUUUAACA